This 256-nucleotide ribosomal RNA is filed under the name uncultured bacterium. RNAcentral describes it as "partial 16S ribosomal RNA". It matches the Rfam family "Bacterial small subunit ribosomal RNA", at positions 524 to 776 of the family's 1533-position model. The record is from RNAcentral.
CACGUAGGGUGCGAGCGUUGUCCGGAAUUAUUGGGCGUAAAGAGCUCGUAGGCGGUGUGUCGCGUCGGCCGUGAAACUUGGGCUUAACUCUGAGCGUGCGGUCGAUACGGGCAUCACUUGAGUUCGGCAGGGAGACUGGAAUUCCUGGUGUAGCGGUGAAAUGCGCAGAUAUCAGGAGGAACACCGGUGGCGAAGGCGGGUCUCUGGGCCGGAUACUGACGCUGGAGGAGCGGAAAAGCCAUGGGGAGCGAACAGG